GAGUCAGGCUGGAAGCUCUUGAUUAAAACAACACAAGUGGAAGCAUUUACAGACCUACAGCAGCUUCGUAUUGUAAGUUUCCAUGUGGAUGAUACAAAAGCCACCUUGAAUGUUUGUUUGGAUAAGCAAUUUAUCGGGGAGUAGUUGAUGUGGGCAACCACUACCCCGGAACUGUGUUGAUCAAUCUAUCUAGAAGGAUUCCCUUUUUGAAGCAUCUUUCUCCUACUUUGCUUUUGUAGACAUGUAAUGUAUCUAAUAAUUGUAAAUGCAAUAUUUCUGACCUAAAUCAUAUUGACAAUAUACAAACAUCUUCUUCACCUCAAUCAAUACUUUUUUUUUUCAUUUCAUUCGUAAUAGUGAAUCCCGCAGCAACGCGCGGGCAA
Molecule: long non-coding RNA, 383 nt
Organism: Rosa rugosa (rugosa rose)
Lineage: Eukaryota; Viridiplantae; Streptophyta; Magnoliopsida; Rosales; Rosaceae
Exons: 3
Source: RefSeq, a predicted model, not a curated record